CGCCCGCAGCUCCGGCCUCGCUUCCCUUUGUCCCGCGCACGCCCCGCCCCUCGCGUCCGGAGCUUCCGCGCUCGCACUUUCAACACUCUUCUUAAUUCCUUUCAAGGCCCCAACCGACUCUCUUUAGAAAAGUGUGAAAAUUGAGGCCUAGGGAAUUUAAGUGAUUCCUUCCUGGUUACAUGGGCCAUUACUGACAGUCCCAGGGCUGAUAUCCUGCAAUUGUUGAAAGAAGAGAGCGAAGGAGAGAGUUGUAAAGGCUGUAUUAAUAUGCUAACAGCUGUAGCCCUUAGAUGAUCCUUUAGCUGGGAAAAAAGUAUGGUUGCUGCUCAGUUGGAGAGAAGUGAAAAAAUUAGGAAGUGAUACUUUUCUACCAGCAAUGAACCGCAAUAGCACCGCAUCCCAGGCUACCUCUUCCCGUCUGGCUGCCUGCCCUGGCUAUGAACAGGACUGUGAGAAUUCGCACAAGAGGAAAUACGAUGAAACAGAGCUGAAAUGACCAGACAUCUUCAUGGAGGAUUUGGAUUAAGCUGUUUUGAUGAGAAACACUUAGAAAAGAGGUUAGAGGGGACCUGAACCAAAAACCUGCCAUCUGGAGUGAUAGUGAAGAGGUCUAUGACGAGUUCAGUGUAGGACCUGCAGAGAGUAAGCAGCUUGAAGCCCAUGAGAGGAAGCAGAGCUGAAGAUUUGGGAAGCUCCCACACACAGAUGAAAAAUGUGCUUACUACCAACUUCCUGGACUGAGAUAAAAGAUCUCUUUUAUGUGUGUGAGUCACAGUUUGUUGUGAACCUGUGUGUGCCUUACCAGCAUCCGCCUCCCAACCACUCGGUGGAUUUCUGGGUUGCUGUUGGGAAACCCCUCCCAAGACAGCACCUCCUGCGUAGGCAGGAAUGUCAGUGGUGGGAGGUUUCACGCUGUGCGGCGACACAAUUUUCUUUAAGCCUGAUGGAGCGCUUCAUCCCUUCACAAAAGCAGGAUAUA
This is a long non-coding RNA of Balaenoptera ricei (Rice's whale), 979 nucleotides long. RefSeq lists it as uncharacterized. Lineage: Eukaryota; Metazoa; Chordata; Mammalia; Artiodactyla; Balaenopteridae. The record is from RefSeq and is a predicted model, not a curated record. The transcript has 6 exons.